RNAcentral lists this ribosomal RNA (292 nucleotides) under uncultured bacterium. RNAcentral describes it as "partial 16S ribosomal RNA". The record is from RNAcentral.
GGACUACUGGGGUAUCUAAUCCUGUUUGCUCCCCACGCUUUCGUGCCUGAGCGUCAAUCUCAGCCCAGGGGGCUGCCUUCGCCAUCGGUGUUCCGCCACAUAUCUACGCAUUUCACUGCUACACGUGGCAUUCCACCCCCCUCUGCCAGAUUCAAGUUCUCUAGUUUCCACUGCCAUUCCCAGGUUAAGCCCGGGGCUUUCACAGCGGACACAGAGAACCGCCUACGCACUCUUUACGCCCAGUAAUUCCGAUUAACGCUCGCACCCUACGUAUUACCGCGGCUGCUGGCAC